This 257-nucleotide unclassified non-coding RNA is filed under the name Hevea brasiliensis (rubber tree). The record is from RNAcentral. Lineage: Eukaryota; Viridiplantae; Streptophyta; Magnoliopsida; Malpighiales; Euphorbiaceae.
AAAGGAUUAAAAGCUAAGCAGUUAACCUCACUCUGGUGAGCAACUACUGAUUGGACAGGCUUUGUGUUUGCUGGAGUUCGGAGAUCCCAAAUAAGCAGGUAUUGAUCAUCCCCAACAGAGCCAAAUAAGUAUUCAUGUCUCAGAUGCCAUGCAACAUCUUCUACAACACCUUCAUGAACCUUAAAAAUUUGCAUAGCAUCGAGGGACUUGCUCUUAGGAGUGCAAUUGAUGUCCCACAAGCAAAUUUGAGCAUCAUC